CCUACGGGGGGCAGCAGUGAGGAAUAUUGGUCAAUGGACGAGAGUCUGAACCAGCCAAGUAGCGUGAAGGAUGACUGCCCUAUGGGUUGUAAACUUCUUUUAUAUGGGAAUAAAAUGUUCCACGUGUGGGAUUUUGUAUGUACCCUAUGAAUAAGGAUCGGCUAACUCCGUGCCAGCAGCCGCGGUAAUACGGAGGAUCCGAGCGUUAUCCGGAUUUAUUGGGUUUAAAGGGAGCGUAGGUGGAUUGUUAAGUCAGUUGUGAAAGUUUGCGGCUCAACCGUAAAAUUGCAGUUGAAACUGGCAGUCUUGAGUACAGUAGAGGUGGGCGGAAUUCGUGGUGUAGCGGUGAAAUGCUUAGAUAUCACGAAGAACUCCGAUUGCGAAGGCAGUUCACUGGACUGCAACUGACACUGAGGCUCGAAAGUGUGGGUAUCAAACAGGAUUAGAUACCCGUGUAGUC
This 460-nucleotide ribosomal RNA is filed under the name uncultured bacterium. RNAcentral describes it as "partial 16S ribosomal RNA". It matches the Rfam family "Bacterial small subunit ribosomal RNA", at positions 338 to 795 of the family's 1533-position model. The record is from RNAcentral.